AUCAUAGAAAAGUAGGGAGAGACAUCGGUUCCAUCCUAAAUUUAUUUCAAAAAGUCAUUUACACACUUAAACUAAUUAGACAAUUCAUUAUACCAUUAUUUUUUAGUAGAACUAACACCUUCUUACCAAAUCCAAAAUCAAUCAUAAAUUGAGAGGUGAAAUACACUCGCUCAAAGCCACUUUUUACAUCACAAAUUAUUUUAAAAAUUAUUUUUUAACAAAAAUUUUUAGCUCCAUCUUUCUUCGCACCUUCAUCUCUCCCGUUAUCUUUUCAAAAGAAAACUUUACCAACAAAUAAAUAGAUUAAUAUAGCAGCAGACAAAUCAAGAUUCAAGACUUUUCAACAAGGAUGGAUCGUCGAAAAUUUAUUCUUCGAUGAAGAUGAAAAUUUUUCAAUCAUUGCUUUUAGAUCAUGGAUUAGAUUACAAAGACAAAGAUUUGAGAAAGUCUCUCUCAGACUCUUACAACUGCUCAAUUUUUGCUCAAAACUGUGCGUCUGCUCGGCUGUUGCUGGCUUGCUACUCACAAUCACUCACUCAGGUUUCACACCAUGCCUUUACUUCGUAGACCUAAGGCCCGAUCACCUAUUUGGAGUCACUAUGAAAUGCUUGAAGAAGAUGAUGAUGGACGGUGCAAAGUAAGGUGUGUUCAUUGUGGUAAUGUUUAUAAUUACACGGAGAAAAUCGGGACAGGCUGCUUAAAGAAGCAUGUUGAGCAUUGUUUAGAGAGGAUAGAGCAUCACUAGACUCGCAUUAGGAUUGAGUAGUUAUUAGUACUAUGUUUGGAGUUUGAACUUAGUUUUUAAAUUGUGUGACAACUUGAAUUGUUCAUAUUUUAUUUUGGAUGCAAACUACAAAGUGCAGACUGCUGCUAGUCAUGUGCUGACUUAUAAUUUUGCUUAGACAUGUGUAAUUGUGACCUACUGUGAGUGUGUGACAUUAUAUUUUUCUUGACUUUUGUAGUUGCC
Molecule: RNA transcript, 967 nt
Organism: Capsicum annuum
Lineage: Eukaryota; Viridiplantae; Streptophyta; Magnoliopsida; Solanales; Solanaceae
Exons: 3
Source: RefSeq, a predicted model, not a curated record